This 19-nucleotide small nuclear RNA is filed under the name Arabidopsis thaliana (thale cress). Its description in RNAcentral is "snRNA_13174". Lineage: Eukaryota; Viridiplantae; Streptophyta; Magnoliopsida; Brassicales; Brassicaceae. The record is from RNAcentral.
AGCCAUUUGGGUUCUGCCU